GAUGAACGCUGGCGGCGUGCCUGAUACAUGCAAGUCGAGCGAACAGACGAGGAGCUUGCUCCUCUGACGUUAGCGGCGGACGGGUGAGUAACACGUGGAUAACCUACCUAUAAGACUGGGAUAACUUCGGGAAACCGGAGCUAAUACCGGAUAAUAUAUUGAACCGCAUGGUUCAAUAGUGAAAGACGGUUUUGCUGUCACUUAUAGAUGGAUCCGCGCCGCAUUAGCUAGUUGGUAAGGUAACGGCUUACCAAGGCGACGAUGCGUAGCCGACCUGAGAGGGUGAUCGGCCACACUGGAACUGAGACACGGUCCAGACUCCUACGGGAGGCAGCAGUAGGGAAUCUUCCGCAAUGGGCGAAAGCCUGACGGAGCAACGCCGCGUGAGUGAUGAAGGUCUUCGGAUCGUAAAACUCUGUUAUUAGGGAAGAACAAAUGUGUAAGUAACUAUGCACGUCUUGACGGUACCUAAUCAGAAAGCCACGGCUAACUGCGUG
RNAcentral lists this ribosomal RNA (497 nucleotides) under uncultured bacterium. RNAcentral's name for it is "partial 16S ribosomal RNA". It matches the Rfam family "Bacterial small subunit ribosomal RNA", at positions 28 to 507 of the family's 1533-position model. The record is from RNAcentral.